This 490-nucleotide ribosomal RNA is filed under the name uncultured bacterium. RNAcentral describes it as "partial 16S ribosomal RNA". It matches the Rfam family "Bacterial small subunit ribosomal RNA", at positions 30 to 507 of the family's 1533-position model. The record is from RNAcentral.
AUUGAACGCUGGCGGCAUGCCUUACACAUGCAAGUCGAACGGCAGCAUGAUCUAGCUUGCUAGAUUGAUGGCGAGUGGCGAACGGGUGAGUAAUACAUCGGAACGUGCCCUGUAGUGGGGGAUAACUAGUCGAAAGAUUAGCUAAUACCGCAUACGACCUGAGGGUGAAAGUGGGGGGCCGCAAGGCCUCAUGCUAUAGGAGCGGCCGAUGUCUGAUUAGCUAGUUGGUGAGGUAAAGGCUCACCAAGGCGACGAUCAGUAGCUGGUCUGAGAGGACGAUCAGCCACACUGGGACUGAGACACGGCCCAGACUCCUACGGGAGGCAGCAGUGGGGAAUUUUGGACAAUGGGCGAAAGCCUGAUCCAGCAAUGCCGCGUGUGUGAAGAAGGCCUUCGGGUUGUAAAGCACUUUUGUCCGGAAAGAAAUGGCUCUGGUUAAUACCUGGGGUCGAUGACGGUACCGGAAGAAUAAGGACCGGCUAACUACGUG